UGUUCGCGAUUUCCCUGUUCUCUGCUGGC
RNAcentral lists this non-coding RNA (29 nucleotides) under Bombyx mori (domestic silkworm). Lineage: Eukaryota; Metazoa; Arthropoda; Insecta; Lepidoptera; Bombycidae. The record is from RNAcentral.